This 68-nucleotide transfer RNA is filed under the name Capra hircus (goat). It matches the Rfam family "tRNA". Rfam says of the family: Transfer RNA (tRNA) molecules are approximately 80 nucleotides in length. Lineage: Eukaryota; Metazoa; Chordata; Mammalia; Artiodactyla; Bovidae. RNAcentral also lists the same sequence under 1 other name. The record is from Rfam by way of RNAcentral.
CCUGGUGACUCAGUGGUAAAGAAUUUGCCUGCAGUGCAGAAGACCCAGGUUCAAUCCCUGGGUCAGGA